GAGUGAACGCUGGCGGUAGGCCUAACACAUGCAAGUCGAACGGCAGCACAGUAAGAGCUUGCUCUUACGGGUGGCGAGUGGCGGACGGGUGAGGAAUACAUCGGAACCUACUUUUUCGUGGGGGAUAACGUAGGGAAACUUACGCUAAUACCGCAUACGACCUACGGGUGAAAGCAGGGGAUCUUCGGACCUUGCGCGAUUGAAUGAGCCGAUGUCGGAUUAGCUAGUUGGCGGGGUAAAGGCCCACCAAGGCGACGAUCCGUAGCUGGUCUGAGAGGAUGAUCAGCCACACUGGAACUGGGACACGGUCCAGACUCCUACGGGAGGCAGCAGUGGGGAAUAUUGGACAAUGGGCGCAAGCCUGAUCCAGCCAUACCGCGUGGGUGAAGAAGGCCUUCGGGUUGUAAAGCCCUUUUGUUGGGAAAGAAAAGCAGCAGGUUAAUACCCCGCUGUUCUGACGGUACCCAAAGAAUAAGCACCGGCUAACUUCGUG
This 493-nucleotide ribosomal RNA is filed under the name uncultured bacterium. Its description in RNAcentral is "partial 16S ribosomal RNA". It matches the Rfam family "Bacterial small subunit ribosomal RNA", at positions 27 to 507 of the family's 1533-position model. The record is from RNAcentral.